UACCCAGUGAUGAGGUAUGUUCUGUCACUGAGCAUGAUGUGAACUGAAUUCUUGUAGCAUUGAUUGGAUUUUAAAAAAAGCAUGCACCUGUGUUUCUUCCGUGAAAAUCCACUUGUAGAUAUAGUGUAAAUUCAAUACUGCCCUUGAAAUUUGAAAGCAUAGGAAACACUGAAUAUAUGUUAACCAAUUAACUCACACUGAUUGCUGUGCUUAUACGCUGUUUGCUUGUCGAAUCAACAUGCUAAUGUUUGAACAACGUUUAAGGAUACAUGAAAAUUUAUGCAGGUUGAAAGAAUGGUGAAUGAAGCUGAGAAAUUUGCAAAGGAGGACAAGGAGAAGAGAGAUGCCAU
Molecule: unclassified non-coding RNA, 350 nt
Filed under: Hevea brasiliensis (rubber tree)
Lineage: Eukaryota; Viridiplantae; Streptophyta; Magnoliopsida; Malpighiales; Euphorbiaceae
Source: RNAcentral